UCCUGGCCGUAAACGCUGCCUGCUAGGUGUUGCACGUUCUUAGAGGGCGUGCAGUGCCGGAGCGAAGGUGUUAAGCAGGCCGCCUGGGGAGUACGGUCGCAAGGCUGAAACUUAAAGGAAUAGGCGGGGGAGCACAACAAGGGGGGAAGCGUGUGGUUCAAUUGGAUUCGACGCCAGGAAUCUCACCAGGGGCGACAGCAGGAUGAAGGCCAACCUAAAGGGCACCUCGCGCU
This 233-nucleotide ribosomal RNA is filed under the name uncultured bacterium. Its description in RNAcentral is "partial 16S ribosomal RNA". It matches the Rfam family "Archaeal small subunit ribosomal RNA", at positions 745 to 981 of the family's 1478-position model. The record is from RNAcentral.